CCUAGGGUGGCUGCAGUAGGGAAUUCUCGUCAAUGGGCGCAAGCCUGAACGAGCAAUGCCGCGUGAACGAGGAAGGUCUUCGGAUCGUAAAGUUCUGUUGAAGGGGAAAAAGAGCGGAGAGAGGAAAUGCUUUCUGAUUGAUAUUACCCUUCGAGGAAGUCACGGCUAACUACGUGCCAGCAGCCGCGGUAAUACGUAGGUGGCGAGCGUUAUCCGGAAUGAUUGGGCGUAAGGGGUGCGUAGGCGGCCUGCUAAGUCUGGAGUGAAAGGUUCCGGCUGAACCGGUAAAGGCUCUGGAAACUGGCGGGCUAGAGAGCAGGAGAGGGCGGUGGAACUCCAUGUGUAGCGGUAAAAUGCGUAGAUAUAUGGAAGAACACCAGUGGCGAAGGCGGUCGCCUGGCCUGUUAACUGACGCUGAGGCACGAAAGCGUGGGGAGCAAAUAGGAUUAGAUACCCUGGUAGUC
RNAcentral lists this ribosomal RNA (464 nucleotides) under uncultured bacterium. Its description in RNAcentral is "partial 16S ribosomal RNA". It matches the Rfam family "Bacterial small subunit ribosomal RNA", at positions 338 to 795 of the family's 1533-position model. The record is from RNAcentral.